RNAcentral lists this ribosomal RNA (3051 nucleotides) under Triticum aestivum (bread wheat). RNAcentral describes it as "partial small subunit ribosomal RNA". Lineage: Eukaryota; Viridiplantae; Streptophyta; Magnoliopsida; Poales; Poaceae. The record is from RNAcentral.
GUAAAGGACUUUGAUGACGCUGUCAAACAAUUGGUUAAUCUUUUGCACAACAACGGUACUGCUGAAGGCAAACCUGAAGUAUUCACCAGUUAUGGCUGGGGCGAGGGUAUGGGAGCAUCUGGCGUCCUCAGAGCUACAGCCAAACUCGUAAACUCCAUGAUAUGUGAUGAUUUCAACAAGUUAAAGCAUUUUGACAGAGUUGUCUACGUGGACUGCUCAUAGUGUAUAAACAAAAGGACCAUGCAGAGGGCAAUUGCAGAGAAGUUGAACCUCCACCAUGAAAUGCCCAUAUUUGAUAAGCAGGAUGAAGAUGAUGAUUUCAGAGGGGUACACAACAGCAAUAGAAAAGAGGUGUCUGGGAUCGGAAGUUUGAUUAAUAAUUCUAUAAGAGAUGAAAGAUUUUUGAUGAUUAUUGAUUAUGGAGGAGUUGAAGAUAUUGAUCUGAUAGAAUGUGGCAUUCCUAUUUUCGGUAAAGGUAUAUUAUUAUGGACCAAUUGUGGAAGAUUUCUGGUCAACAUGAGAGAAAGCAAGUUGAUGUCCCCUUCUGCUAGUAAUGAUAUUUUUAUCAGUCUCUAUCAGAAUGAAGGCAUAAAACAAAUACAUAAUAUACUGCACGAAGAAGCUGUCGGAGUGAUUGGUGACACUUGUAUGGAUGGCAUCAACCCAGAAAUAGUUUUGGAUUGCUUCCUGUACUCAUUCUUCUUGACAGCACAGCUACCUAAAAACUCUAUCGGUGUUGACUAUGGUUGGGCUACUCAUGCUUGCAACUACUGGAUAUGUGAUGGAAUCCUUGAGGAUAGAGCAUGGGAGAUCGGUAAUGCAUUGUAUGGAGUGAUAACGCAAUUUGGCUAUUAUUCAGAAAAAUCAAGUGGCUAUUUUUCAGAUGAAACAAGAUGUAUGGCUUUGGCAUCAGAUUUUUAUGGACGAAAAAAAUCUUAUGAAGGUUGGUAUUUAGUGACCUUUAACAAACUAACAGCAGAUGAUAUCUCUUAUGUUACUGGAAGUGCAUCAUCAUAUUUCCUAACUUGCCAGGGGGAUGAUCCAGUAUAUGUACAUAAUGAUUUGUUUCAACUGGCCAGCAGCAACCUCCGUGUGUUAAAACUCUGCAAUUGUUGCUUUGAUUUUGCAUCCCCUCCUUUUCAGUGCUGCCACAACCUAAGAUUCCUUUGGCUUGACCAUUGUGCAAACACAGGGAAGGAGCAAAGUGGAGGGCCAAGUUUUCCAAACCUGUUGGUGUUUGAUUUACGUUUCACAGAUUUUGUUUUGUUGCCUCAGAUGAUUGAACUGAUGAUCAAUCUCAGAGAGCUGAAUACAAAGGGAGUCUUAUGGAAGGCUAUAAGUCAUGCAUGGAAGAAGCUACAGAAGCUUCAUAAGCUCCGGUUGACCGAAUCUUCAGAUGUGGUUAUGGUGGACAAUUGUUAUUCUGUGGAUAUGAUGAAUCUGGAGCUCCUUGACUUGUCUGGCAACAAUCACAUGGAAUCAUUGCCGACAUUGUCGUCUGCAAAAAGUCUGAAGAUGCUUGUUAUUGAUGGUUGUUCUAGCUUGAAGCAUGUUGGACUGGAAGGAGCUCCUCCACUGCUUGAAAGUUUUAGUUUCGAUGGUUAUGGCCCAGCAGAGAAUUGGACACAUUCCAUACACCUGCCACAAAAGGAAUUGCGCCUCAAGUCUCCUUUAGCUCCUGUUGAAAUAGUCAAGGUGACAAAGAUCUCCCUACACGGUUGUGGUCAAUUGCAUAACAUAUUCCUUCGUGGACUGCCAAAUCUGGAGGAACUGGACCUCUCUGGUACAACCAUUAAAAUAAUUGACCUCCAUGCAAUGGAUGUCCCGAAACUCAAGAAGCUAUUCCUACUGGGCUGUGUGGGGCUCCGUAGCCUAAUAUGGCAAGGAUCACCUAGACUGGAAGUUCUACAUGUGGACACUCAAGGGACUAAAAGACCAGUGGUCUACUGUGGAGAACAGGGAUUCUUUGGCUUUCAAGCACAUAUUGUUUUUACGGAUGGAAGGUUCAUUUGGUCAUUCUCAGAGGGGCUCAAUAGCCGAUCACAAAAUUCUGUCUCCAAGGUGUACCUCCUUAUCUCUUGUAUGAGCCGUAGCCAAGCGAACAUCACCAAAAGUAUCAAGGAGAUUGGAUCUACCCGGCAGGGUUUGGUAUCAACAAGGCCAUUUUUACCAUAUAGUGAUACUACUCUUGCUAAAGAUGUAGCAUGCCCUUCUUUGGUGUGGAACUGUCGACCGCUUCAAACUUUGAAUGUACAUGUCGAGAUUGGUGAAGGAAGCUAUAAUUUAGAGAGGAUGCAACAUGAAGGGGGUUUCCAAGAUUUCACAUGAACUGUUGAAUCGUUGCAUGUGCAUGACAAUUCCUCUAUCACUGCUAUCCCUCCAACAAAUUUUUGGUUGUGGACAAAACUAAAAUGGUGUCAUGUUGAGAGGUGUUCCAAGCUACACUCUCUGUUUCGUUAUAGGUAUGGAGAUGCCAGGUUUGCAAGUAUAAGGACAUUUUCAGCUUCUGAUCUUCUGUUGGCCUAUUGCAUAUGGGGUAGAGGCAUUAAUUCUCGGGAUAGUACUUGUUGUUUCCAACAACUACAGCACAUAUACAUAUACCAUUGCCCUAGGCUGGUGUUCGUCCUCCCCAUUUCCUUCACCUUGCCUAACUUGGAGACCCUCCAGAUCGCAUACUGCAGUAACCUCCAACAUGUUUUCCCAUUGGAUGACAAGUAUCCUGAGAGCAUAGCAUCUGGUGUCACAUUUAAGAACCUGAAGGACAUCAAGCUACACCAUCUUCACAAGCUGGAGCAGAUAUGUGAAGCCAGACUGACUACACCAGCGUUGCAGAUGGUCGGCAUCAGGGACUGCUGGGCUCUCAGGCGUCUUCCUGCUGUAGCAUGUGAAGGUCCUGAGCCGCUGGUGGACUGCAAGAAGGACUUGUGGGACAACCUCGAGUGGGAUGGCCUGGAUGCCGGACAUCACCCGUCGCUCUUCAAAACACACCACUCGGCCUACUACAAGAAGACCCUCCCGAGGGCCUCCUAUCUAAGGUUUGUCGCACAUUGA